Molecule: long non-coding RNA, 284 nt
Filed under: Lathyrus oleraceus (garden pea)
Lineage: Eukaryota; Viridiplantae; Streptophyta; Magnoliopsida; Fabales; Fabaceae
Description: Pisum sativum (pea) long non-coding RNA (PSAT_LNC022263)
Source: RNAcentral
AACCAGAGGCUGAGCAAACUUUAGAGCGAAACACUCCACCUGCUCCUGACCAGACCCAAGGAAGUGGUAAAUCAACUGGUUCGACUAGUUUUUCUCGCAAGGAGCUUGAAAGUCUCAAAGUGCAGAAACCCUUAGAGUAUCUGAAGGCUAUGCUUAGUGCUCGUUUUAAUUUCCAAGAUUCUUCGCAGAGCAGUUCGACUACUUCUGGGGCCACUUCUAAAGCACCAUCACUUGGCAACAUCUUGACCAAGAUUAAAACGAAAAUCCUUGAUGUUGAUUUGUUC